Molecule: long non-coding RNA, 20919 nt
Filed under: Fragaria vesca (wild strawberry)
Lineage: Eukaryota; Viridiplantae; Streptophyta; Magnoliopsida; Rosales; Rosaceae
Description: long non-coding RNA (FVES_LNC001983)
Source: RNAcentral
AGAGUAACGGGUUUGGGAGAAGUACAAAAGUUGGUUAUAUCACGGUGAAACAUCAUCAAGGGGUCCACAUGAUCCUGGGCAAUUUUUUGAGACGGGUAGUACAUCCAACGAUCCAACAACGGCCUUCAUCAACGAAUGUUUCCUUAUGAGAGCGGUGUAUGCGCUCAAUGACAGUAUAUGCCUGACCCGGUGCAGCCCUUCCCUAGAGCUGUCAACACUGUUGGUAUUGACAUGUACAACAAACUGCUUGCUUUCCAACAGACCCCUGUGUACCCCAGUUGUCAGAAGACCGUUUUUGAAAGUGUGAUGGACGUAAUGAAGAUUAAAGUUGAGACAAAAUCGACCGUGAAGCUAUUAAUGAUUAUCUACUGUACACUGCUUCGAUGCUGCCCCACGGUCAUCGUCUUCCUACCACUCAUCAUAAGGUCCGAUGUAUCCUAAAAGAUCUUGGGCUUUCCUACAUCAAGAUCCAUGCAUGCAGAUAUGACUGCGUUCUCUUCUAGGGUAAAGAUCCAGAAGGGAAUGACCUUGGUGGCUUUGACGCAUGUCCGGUAUGUCACACUAACAGGUAUAAGCUGACCAAAUUACGUAAUAUAGGGGGAGAUAUGAGCGUUUUCGUGAAUUUAUAGACUUUAGCCGACGAAAAUAUAUGAAAAGUCGUCGGCUAAGGUCAAAAAAUUUCAAAAUUUUUUAGGCGGUAAACCAAAGUUGGAGGAAAAUUUUCAAAGGACUUUAGCCGACGAAAAUAUAUGAAAAGUCGUCGGCUAAAGUCGAAAAAUUUUCAAAAUUUUCAAAAUUUUCAACCAAAAUUUUCAAAAGAGUUUAGCCGACGAAAAUAAAGAAUUUCGUCGGCUAAAGUUCUUUAUAUAGGCGAAGAUGGAUGGUAAGAAGUCUAUUAUCUGCCAGAUUUUCUUCUCGGCCUAGCUCCGCCGUCAAGCCACCGGAGACCGUCACACUUGUCCCAAAAGCUUCGCCGUCGUCUCUACUUCAUUGCUGGAUAGGUGGUGCAUCGAGUGGCGCCGCCGUGAGGGAUAAAUCGAGCUCCAAAACUCCGCCGGUUCGGAUUCGGUGUCGAUCAAAUUUCUCAUUCAUUAGGUCACCAUUUGGUGAGUUCUAUAUAUGGAUAAGUUGAGUUUGAUUAGUACUACAUUCCCCUAGAAUUUGGUAGCUCGAUUCGGUGUGUGUGAAGAGAAUCGAAGAUUUGAAGUUUUUAGGGUUUAAAAUUGGGGAUUUUUAUAUUUUCAGUCGAUUGACCUGUUUAGGCUUAGAAUUGAGCUUCGACUUCUUCUACAAAGUUGUUCGAAAUGUUGAGAGGAAGAUUCUGUCAAAUUUUGGUGGUGAUUGGAGGUGGCCGAAAGUUUCUGCAGUUUUUUUUUUCAAAACCCAGAAACUUUAGCCGACGAUAUUUAAACACUAUAUUCGUCGGCUAUAGUAUUUUUAAAUUUUUUUUUAUAAGGUUUAGCCGACGAAUUAUGCCAUAAUUCGUCGGCUAUAGUUAUUUUUUAAAAAUUUUUAUAAGGUUUAGCCGACGAAAUAUUUUAUAUUUCGUCGGCUAUAGUUAUUUUUUUAAAUUUUUUAUAAGGUUUUAGCCGACGAAAUAUAGUAAAUUUCGUCGGCUAUAGUUAUUUUUAAUUAUUUAUUACACACUUUAGCCGACGAAUAUAUUAAUUGUUUCGUCGGCUAAAGUCUGGGAAAAAAACCGACGACAUGUUUUUCGUCGGCUAACUGUGAGACUAUAGCCGACGAAAAAAAAAAAUUUCGUCGGCUAAAGUCAUCACAGACGACCUUUUUCCCGACAACACUAUAGCCGACGAGCCUUCGUCGGCUAAGAUGUUAGCCGACGAAUUAAGAUAACAGGCCGACGAAAAUUUUUCGUCGGCUAAAGUGCUUGUCCUGGUAGUGAAAGUUCAUCUCAUGGAUCGUUGUGAGCUUAUCACAUUCUCUGUCGAAGUUGACUGACAAUUCCUAGCGGAUUUCUGAUUUCUUUCCUUAUGCCAUAUGGAUUUCUUUUCCUUCAAGAUCUCUCCUCUUUUGCUUCUUUUCUGCUCCUCUGCUUUAUUUGCGACCUAAAAAUACAAACUAAGUUAAAAUGAAUAUUGUUAAAGGAAUUACAUAGCUAAAUAGGGUUGGAAAUACAUUAAGAACGUUGCAUAAAAUGCACCUAUCAAAUUCCCCUACACUUAGCUUUUGCUAGUCCCUUAGCAAAAUCAAACAAAAGACUCAAUACACACAAACCAGAAAUUACACAACUACAAAACUCAACAAACAAACAAACAACUCUAUUGCCCAUAACAUAUUGUCUCAGAAUCUCCAAUCAUGGCAUCAAAAUUAGCACUCAAUCAAGAAUCAUUCCAUGAAGUUUCAGAAGCUAAUUGCCAUGCAUAGAUAACAUAUUUACAUGUAGGACCUGAUAGAACAAUGGUGAUAUUUAAGCUCAGCAUGUUUCAAACAACUAUGAGUCAUUCUCACAAGGUAUGCACUCAUUUUUCACUCAGAUUUUCUGGCUAAAUCACUCAAUAAGUAUGCAAGUUAGAAUCAGAAAGUUUGCAUUUAUAUGAACAAAAGCACAAUAGAACAGAUAUAAACCUCAUGAAAGAAUCAAUUACUCACACAAAUGAACCAUACCAUAGGCUCAACUCUUGGAACAAACUUCACAGAUCAAGUUUUACUCAUCUUUUGGACCAAAAGGAACUUUACAAGGUAUUAAUGGGGCUGCUAGGGUAUGAAUUUAAGAGUAGGUAUUGCAAAGAAUUCCUAAGGACCUAGCAGAGAAUUCAAACACGUCUUAUGUCGCCAAAGCAAGGGCCUAAUGUCAUCUUGUUGGGCCCUUUGUCAUUCUAAACACCUUCAACAUUGUGAAAAAGAACAAAGGCCAAAUAUUCUGUUUUUGGGCCUUCCAUUUACAACCAAAACUCCCAUUUCACAACACAAAGACAUUGUCCAUUUUUUUCUUUUUAUUUUUCUGCCGAAAUUUUGUUUUGUUUUGUUUUUGUUUUUUUUCACGGCAUUUUCUUUUCUCUUUAAACAACAAGGACAUUUCAGAAACUUCUUCCCCCACACUUGCUCUUCAUUGUCACCUCCAGUAGUCUUCACACAAAAUGCUCUACUAGGUCCAAAAGAUAAGGGUAGAGAUAUCACUGUACUAAGCUCAGGUAAAAAUUAUAUGGGUGAUAAAAGAAAAGGCUUAAUGUAGGCUCAAAGGGGCUCAAACUAAGGGGUAUGCAGCGCACACAAAUAGGGACACACGUUUAUUUGGCAAUGGUGAUCAUCCUAAAAAGUUCCAUUUAUCCUUUCCAAAAUUAGAGUGUUUUAUGAUUAAAAGUUUCGAAAGUCCAUAAGAGUGAGUUCUAGUCAUCUAGAGUUCAUUAAAAGUUGUGGUGAAAUCAAACUAAAAGAAUAAUGAGGGUUUUGAAAAAUUAUAGCCAAGAAAACAAAUCAGAAUAUUUCAAUUAUCACUCAAAAAGAAUAGCACAUAUAUAGGCUCAAAAGCUCACAUUUAAGGUCAUAUGAAUCAAAAACUUGUCUUAGCCUGCUCAUUUCUGUACCAGAGAUUCAAAUCAUAUCCACUACAUUUCACAUGAUUUCUAUCCAUUUCAAUUAACAACCGAAUAUCAGUUAGAAAUCAUCUCAAUCUUGUGAUCUUUUCUUAUCCAUAAUUUUAGAGAUUAUCACUCAUCAUAGACAGUUAAGGGCUCCUAAGACUUAAAAACAAAAGAAAAGACUAAAACAAAAAAAACAACAAUUAUUAUUAUUAUUAUUAUUAUUUUCAAUAAAAGAUAUAAAAAGAUGUAAAUCCUUCCCCCACACUUAAAUCCUACAUUGUCCACAAUGUAACACAAGAUGAAGCAUAGAAUCAAAGCAUGGAAAGACAGAGUCACGAAAAACAAACAAAAGAGAAGAAGGGAGAAGAAAGCAAAUCUGUGUUGAUGGCUCCUCCAUAGCUUUGGUUGAAUUGGGUUGCCUCCCAAGCAGCGCUUAAUGUUUAGAGUCUUUCAGCCUAGACUUUGUAUCUCCAUUUAUCCAUGUGAUGGCACAUCUUGAAGGGAUACUUCCUCCACACUGUGUUCCUCAAAAGCCUCGUAGUAAGGCUGCAAUCUGUGGUCAUUCAUCUUGAACUCGUUCUCGGAUGUGAGACUCUUUAUCUGUAUAGCACCAUGAGGAAAAAUAUUAGUAACAAUGAAAGGUCCAAUCCAUCUAGAAUGCAAUUUACCUGGAAAUAGUUUAAGUCUAGAAUGGAAGAGUAGAACUUUCUGGCCCACUUUAAAAAUUUUCCUUGAAAUCAUCUUAUCAUGAAAGGCCUUUGUCCUCUCUUUGUAAAUCCGAGCACUAUCAUAGGCCUCAUUUCUUAUCUCUUCAAGCUCAUUCAAUUGAAGCUUCUUGUGUAAACCUGCCUCAUCAAUGUCCAUGUUAAAUGUUUUCACCGCCCACCAAGAUUUGUGCUCCAAUUCCACCGGAAGGUGGCAUGCCUUCCCAUAGGAAAGUCUGAAAGGUGACAUUCCAAUUGGGGUCUUGUAUGCUGUCCUAUAGGCCCAUAAUGCAUCAUCAAGUCGCUGACUCCAAUCUUUGCGUGUAAGGCCCACCGUCUUCUCUAAAAUCCUCUUGAUUUCUCGGUUUGACACCUCUGCUUGUCCAUUUGUCUGAGGAUGAUAAGGAGUAGACACUUUAUGCGUGAUAUUAGUGAUGGAGGAUCCCACUUCUGCUUGUCCAUUUGUCUGAGGAUGAUAAAGAGUAGACACUUUGUGCGUGAUACUUCUUGGGUAGAGCCGCGAUUGUCCUGUUGCAAAAGUGCGAUCCUCCAUCACUAAUGACAGCACGAGGCAUUCCAAACCUACAAAAGAUAUGAGAAUGGAGGAAAUCUGUAACAACUUUGGAAUCAUUAGUUUUGGUGGCUUUUGCCUCCACCCAUUUCGACACGUAAUCAACCGCUAGAAGAAUAUACAGAAAUCCAUUGGAAGAAGGAAAGGGUCCCAUAAAGUCAAUACCCCACACAUCAAAUAUUUCAACAACUGUCACAUUAGUUAAGGGUAUUUGGUCUUUAGGACCUAGGUUACCUAGCCUCUGACAUCGAUCACAAGUCAUACAAAACAUAUAUGCAUCCUUAAAUAUCGUAGGCCAAUAGAAACCACAAUCCAACACCUUAAGAGCUGUCUUACGUGAACCAAAGUGACCACCACAAGGCUCAGAAUGACAAAAAGCAAGUAUAGAUUUAUGCUCAGAUUCUGGGACACACCUCCUAAUUAUUUGAUCACUGCAAUGUUUCCACAAAUAAGAUUCAUCCAAAAUAUAGUACCUAGCAUGCUUCUUAAGUCUAUAUAUCUUUAUUAGCACGAGUCAAAGUGUCCGGAAAUUGCCUAGUCACUAAAUAGUUCACAAUAUAUGCAUACCAAAGUUCACUUACCUCAAUUCCGAAGAGUUGUUCAUCCGGAAAGUUCUCUUGUAUGGCAAUGGUGUCCUCCUCAUGUACCAAUCUACUCAAGUGAUCUGCUACAACAUUCUCACUCCCUUUCUUGUCCCUAAUCUCGAUAUCAAACUCUUGGGGUAAAAGAAUCCAUCGUAUGAGCCUCGGUUUUGCUUCCUUCUUUGUAAGCAAGUACUUCAUAGCUGCAUGAUCAGUGUAAACAAUAGCUUUAGUCUGAUCUAAAGCAAAAACAACAGCAAGAAGUUCUUUUUCUGUAGUAGAAUAAUUCAAUUGAGCAUCAUUAAGAGUCCUUGAGGCGUAGUAAAUAGCAUAGGGCCUCUUGUCCUUCCGUUGUCCUAACACAGCUCCAACUGCAUAGUCUGAGGCGUCACACAUCAACUCAAAGGGUAGAGAGCAAUCCGGAGGGAGCAUAAUAGGAGCUGAUGUGAAAAGCUCCUUCAACCUCUCAAAUGCCUUCUUGCAAUCGUCGUCAAAUUCGAAGGGUACAUCCUUUUACAGUAAAUGACAUAGAGGUCUGGCUAUCUUGGAAAAGUCCUUAAUAAACCUGUGAUAAAAUCCUGCAUGGCCAAGAAAUGAAUGAACCUCCCUCACAGAAGUGAGAAAGGGUAAGUAACGAACAAGAUCAACUUUGGCUUUAUCGACCUCUAUUCCCCUAGCAGAUAUAAUAUGUCCCAACACAAUGCCUUGUCGAACCAUAAAGUGACACUUUUCCCAAUUUAGCACCCAGUUAGUUUCAACACAACGUUUUAAGAUUAGUUCUAAAUUCUCUAAGCAUGCAUCAAAACUCUUACCAAAGAAAAUAGACAUCCAUGAAAACCUCAAUGAUCUUUUCAAUGUACUCAGAGAAAAUAGACAUCAUAUAACGUUGAAACGUACCUGGAGCAUUGCAUAAACCGAAAGGUAUGCAUCUAUAGGCAAACGUACCAAAUCAGCAUGUGAAGGUGGUCUUCUUUUGAUCCUCCUGAGCUAUGCAAAUUUGAUUGUAACCACUAUAGCCAUCCAAGAAGCAAUAAUACUCAUGACCUGCUAACCUCUCUAACAUCUGAUCAAUGAAUGGCAAAGGGAAGUGGUCCUUCCUGGUGGUGGCAUUGAGCUUUUUGUAGUCCAUGCAGACUCUAUGUCCAGUCACAACUCGUUGAGGCACUAGCUCAUUCUCUUCAUUCUUCACCACAGUCACUCCAGACUUCUUUGGCACCACUUGGACUGGUGAGACCCACUUGUUAUAUGAAAUAGGGUAGAUAACAUCACAAUCAAGUAAUUUAAUAACCUCAGUUUGAACUACCUGCAUCAUGGGUGGGUGGAGGCGUCUUUGGGCCUCUCUGGUGGGCUUAGCGCCAUCUUCAAGCAAAAUCCGAUGCACACAAGUUGUAGGGCUUAUACCCUUGAUGUCUGCCAAAAUCCAACCAAUGGCGGUCUUGUACUUCUUCAAUAUUUCCACAAGCCUUUCCUCUUGCUCCUUCUCGAGCAUAGAAGAUACAAUUACUGGCAAUGUCUCAUUGUCUCCCAAAAACACAUACUUCAAGUGAUCUGGUAAAACUUUAAGUUCAAGAGUUGGGGCCUGUACCACUGAAGGAAGAAGUUUAUUAGUCGAAAUGGGAAGUGACAAAGGAGGAUCAUAACUAUCUAUGGUGGCAUGGCCUCAAGAGAAGCCACAGUUUGGAUGAUAAUAGGACUAAAGUUCUCUUCAAGUUCUGCCUUGGUGAUGUUGGUGCCAUGUUCAUUGUAACCAACUCCUUGAGCGAUUGUUAGCGCCAACUCAUCAUCCGGAAUUUCAUCCAAGAAUUUCUGAGCAAGAGAAUCAAGUAUGUCAAUAGAAAAACCAGAUUUGUCAUCAGAAAUAGGAUACCUCAUGACUUUAAAGAUGUUGAAGCCAAUAACAUCACCAUUAAACUCCAUGGUUAAUGUUCCUUCAUACACAUCGAUCUUUGUCUUCGCCGUUCUCAUGAAUGGACAUCCAAGCAACAAGAUUGUGGAAUUAUGAGGCGAGUCUUCCAUGUCAAUGAUGUAGAAAUCCGCUGGAAAGAUCAAAUGGUUCACCUGCACAAGCACAUCCUCUACAUACCCCUUAGGAUAUGUGUUGGAUCGAUCAGCUAACUGGAUAAUAACAUUAUCUUUCUUAAGUGCGCCUAACUCCAUAGAUGCAUAUAAACUAUAUGCCAUAACAUUGAUCGAUGCACCUAAGUCAAGUAUGACAUUUUCAAACUUAUUGUUACCAAUUACACAAGGGAUAGAAAAACUCCCUGGAUCCUUAAGCUUUGGAGGCAAUUUCCUUUGAAUAACCGUAGAGGCAGUCGCAUUCAUCUUCACAACCUCCUUUUGACGUGUUUAUCUCCUUGUAGUGCACAACUCUUUCAGAAAUUUAGCAUAUUUUGGCACUUCUUUGAUGCACUCAAGCAAAGGCAUGUUUACUUGAACCUUCUUGAAAAUCUCCAGGAUAGCUUGAUCCGACUCAUCCCUCUUUGAUUGUGCAAACCUGCUUGGGAAUGGUACACGAGCAUAGGGAGAGUUAGAAAUAACCGAACUUUGAGAGUAAGAAUCAUUACCUUUACUUGCUGGUUUCAGUGGGGAUUGCAGUGAGCUUUCAAUCCUAGAUGUUGCUGGAUCUUUUUCUAAAUCCCUCUUGGUGACUUCAAUGUCACCCUCCUCAUCAUGGGCCAAAAUUGGCGCCACUUUGGUCUUCUUUGGUGCCUUAGCUAGGGACAUCUUCAAGCCUCUUCCCACUCCUUGUAAUGAUUACCUUUGUAGAUUCAAAGUUAGGAUUCGGAAUAGUACUGGGUGGGAGCUUUCCACUUUCAGUUAUUCUUCCCAUGAAGUCCACAACAUGUCCCAUUUGCUUCUUGAGCUCCGCUAGGUCCUUACCAUGACUCUGUUAUCCUGUGACAAGUGCUUGAGUAGAAGUUGUCAAAGUUUGUUGCCCUUGAAAAAGAUCUUCAAGCAUUUUAUCAUAAGAAGCAUUAAUAGCAUUAUGAGGAACAUAGUAAUUAUUUGGAACAAAGUUUUGAGGAACUUGAGGCCUCGGAUGGAAGCCUUGAGGACGUGGAAAGAGUCCACUAGAUGGUUGGGGUUGUUGCACAUUCUCUAUGUCGCUCCAUCGAAAGUUGGGGUGGUCCCUAAGUCCUGGAUUGUAGGUGUUAGAGAAGGGAUUGUAAUGUUGUUGCGAUCCCAAAGCAUUUAAUGAUUCCCAUCCUCCAUUCUCAAUCAACUGAGGACACUAAUCAAUCACAUGCCCUUGCAUAGAGCAAACUCCACACGUCUUAGCUUCUUCUUGACCUUUUACCUGUAAGACCUGAGACAACAAAGUAGUCAUGUUAUUCAAUUUUUCCUCAAGUGCAGAGUUAGAAGAUACCUGAUUUACCCUCCGAGAAGAGGAUAACGUCCCCUCAUACUGUUGAUAGUUGAGAGCACGAUUUUCCAAGAGUGCUUAGCCACUUCUGGUGUCUUAUCCAAGAAAGAACCUCCCGCAGAAGCAUCCAAAAGUUCUCUUUCGUUAGUGAGAAGUCCCUCAUAGAAGUACUGGAGCAGGUUAUUUUCUGACAUUCCAUGGUUGGGGCAUGACGUCACUAGAGCCUUAAACCUCUCAUAAUAGGUGCAAAUGAUUCAUCAACCUUUUGUUGUAUGCCAGUAAUCUGCUUCCUAAGGAUGGUUAUCCUUGAUGCUGGAAAGAACUUUGUGAGAAACUCUCUAACCAUCUUAUCCCAAGAGUCAAUAUGGCCAGAUGGAAGCUCAAAUAACCAUGUUUUCGCCCUAUCUUCCAGAGAGAAAGGAAAUGGAUUCAAUUUCAGAAUUUGAAUGUCUGCUCCCUUUGGGCACAUACUGGUACAUAUGAACUGGAACAACUUCAGAUGAUUGUUAGGGUCCUCAUUGUUAAGCCUGUGGAACUUGGGGAGGUGGUGUAAGAAACCACUCUUCAAUUCAAACUCUGCCUCCUUGCCUGUAGCUGGAUCUGGAUAAGUGAUGCACGUUGGAGCUACUGCUCCUUGAGUUGUUGACGAGAGUUGCUUGAUAGUUGCCAUGGAUCUUUCUUCAAGGUGUGGUCCUUCUUCCUCAAAGAUUUACUCCACCUCAUCUGAGAGAUGUGAUGAACUAGCUUCUGAGUGAACUUCUUUGUUUUCCUCUACUCGAGUUGUAGAUGCACUUCCUUUAACUUCUUGUUCUUUCGAGUAGUCCUCUCUAUCUCAGGAUCAAAGAGAAGUUCACUUGUCGGUUUCGCCCUUGUAUGCAUAAACCUACGAGUUCCUGCAUCAAAAAACACUAAGUUAGUCUUCAAGAAUUCACAUGAAAUGCAUGUAUAUAAAUAAUAACACAAUUAUUUACUAAAUGAAAAACACAUAUAUCAUGUAUAUACAACAAUAAAGAACGCUUAUUUAGCUAAGGAUUUUUCAAUCCCCGGCAACAGCGCCAUUUUGAUGAGUGUAAAAUCUACAUCAAAUAAACCCUUUUUAUCGUUGGUAGCACAAGGUAAAUAAGGGUAUCGUAUAAGACCGAAGAUUGAGGGUACCUUGCAAAACAAGCGUUAGUAAAACUAAUAAACACAAGUAUUAUUUACAAAUAUACAAUCAAAUACAUUUACAAUUAAAUUGGGGGUAUUGAGAGAUAAUUUCUAACCUAAAAUGCAAGAUAAAUAAACCUAAACUAAUAUAAUAUAUACAAGCGAUCAUCUUCUUUCACACGAAAAACAGCCUUUCAAACUACAUAAUCAAGUUAUCACAAUGUUUCAAUUUCCAAAACAUAGAAUCAUGUCAACUAUAUGCAAUAAACGAAUUCGAAACACAAGCCGAAAGAGGUCAUGCAUCCCAUAUAAUCUUCUCAAGUCUCCUACACUGGAAAAAUCCGAACACAUAGAAUAUUUCAUGCAAUGCAUCACGUUAAUACGAAGCGCAUCCAUACAACACACUACAUGUGUAACGCCCUGUACCCAAUUUUACCUUUACCUUUUUACUGGGUAUUAUACGAGUUACUGAGGAAUUUAACCAUGCUCGGUAACUUAGUAAGUUAACACUUGAGUUUAUUUGCGAUUUCUUCUGGAAAUGUCAAAUUCUUCUUUUAAGGUGUCAGUGUCGUAGUUCGCGUUGACACGGGUUCUCCUGUGUUUUCGGUUUAUUUUCGGAGCUUUGAAGUAUUUUUGUACGAUUUAUUGAAGGUUGGUGAAAGAAAUUAAUUUUCUGAAAUUAGAAUAACCCAUUUAAUCUUGGCCAUCGGAUCUUUAGGGUUUUGAUCUUGAUCGUCAAUUCAAGUAUAAAGGGAAGGGAAGAGUUGACCGAGUCAAGAAGCCACACUCGGGCGUUGACCCGAGCUUCAGCCUCUCUCUCCUCUCUCUGGCUACGUCAGUCUUUCCCGACUCUUCGUCGUUGAUUCCGGCCACCACUCACCGCCACAUCGGUCUCAAAAUGACCGUCUCAUUCUCUUCUAUCUAACCCGGUCCAUAGAACUCGAUGUUAGCCCGAUUCAAAGCCAAACCGAGGGAGAGAAGCUCGGCUGUUUUUCGGCGAAUCCUCGAGAUUCCGACCACGGCGUGACGAGUGGGAGGUAGGGUUAUCUUCCUCUCUUCCUACUUCACCUUCUGGUGCCUUUCUUUUCCCCAUAUCGUGCCUUAAUUGAAGACCCAUUUUUCUGUGUUCUCCGAGUUUCGAGCUCCUAGCUCAGGCGACCCUAGCUCGGUGGUUUCUGGCGAGUUCUUCAGCGUUUUGGCAGGUCAUGUGAGCUUGGUGUGAAGUUGAGACGGACAUUGAUGGAGUUGCAUAUCGAUCAGGAUCGAGGCAGAGGUCUGGUGCGCUUGACCGAAGAGGAUCCGAGGUGAAUGGUGUUGUUGCAGUGAAGAAUGAGGCAACGGUUGUGGAUGUUUAGGGGUCCUGCAUAUUGAGUCCGGACCAGGAGAGUUCUUGGGAUAGCACUUGAGAUCAAUGGAAUGUAAUCUUGAUCUCCUUUGAUGUUAUAUAGUUGUUGUGUGGAUAUUCGGACUGAUUGGAUGCAUUUUUUUUGGUGUUGCUUGUGGAGAACUUGGUGUAUUGAAGAAUAUAGGGAGGUCAUGGCAAAAUUCCGGUAAGAGGCCAGAAUCCGGCAGAAUAUUCCGGCAAGUCGCUGGAGUCCGGCAAGGGGUGGAGCUGGCAGAAAUGAUGGAGGUAGUGAUCGAUGUUUCUUUUUCAUUGUAUGUCAUUUCGGGAAUAGGAAAGUUUGGAUUGUAAUCGGAAAAAUUGUCAAGUUAGGAAAGUUUCUAUUUGGGAUACUUUCCGUUUUUGGAAACCUUCCAUUUAUGGAAACCGUUUUUGGGUGCCCUUAGUAGUUUUGUGGUUUUUCAUAUUAAUAUGGUUCGUAUGUUUUUGACUUAAAGAAAUUACAUUAGUUUGAUUAAUAAAAAAUCGAGGUUCACCAAAACAAAUUAUUAAGUGAUGCCUAAGCGUCUAACGGUUAGUGGGACGUAUAGAGAAAAUUGGAUCGAAUUGUUAAGUCAAAGGUUGAAUUGAAAAACGUUGAGCAUCGUUAGUUGGUCAAAUCAGUUUGACCUAAGAAACCUUAGUCAAACUAGGAAAGAAGGCGAGGCAAAGGUUAUUUUAAAGUUUGGUCUGACCAAUUUGUCCUACAACUUAUGGUCAGGCAUGGGAUUGACUCAAGGACAUGGAUAUUUGGAAGCGGCGCUCAAGGAGUGUCCCGAGCAAUGGAAAACUUAAGCCUAAUACUGUGAGUGGACAUUUUCAUUUUAAAUAAAUAUGCAUGCAAGAUUUUAUAAUUUAUUAUUUUAUUUUCCGAGCUUAUAUUAUAAUUUUGGCUUAUGAGAUGUUCUUGGAAAUUAUUUGAGUUUGAAGCAUUGCUUAAGUGUUGGUCAUGAUAUAUGGAUUCGAGCUCAGGUUAUAUAGUUGGUAUUUAAGUUUUGAUAUUCUUUAUGACUCCGGAUUUAAAUAUUUUCGGUUUUAUUUUUUUGAUGACUUUGAAAUUUAUAAAUGAUUACCGAAAAUGGGAUUUUCAGUAGUUCUCCAUCAUAAUUUAAUUGUUUAUUGAUGCAUAAUGAUUUUGACUUGGAGAAUAUUUUAGCGAGAAUUUUCGAGUGGGGAUAUUAUUAUUUAUGAUUUAUAUUUGAUAUUGAAAUCUCGCUUAUAUUUAUAAAUGUGAGAAUAUUUUGACGUGUGAGAGACGUCAUUGAGUUUUAAUAUAAUAUCUUAUGAUGAUUUUCAAGUACAGUUGGAAACCGUACCAUUCGUAUGAUAUUGGUGAAGUUUAAUGGAUUUAAGUGAUUUCGUAUGUUUUUAGUCACCAUAAUAUAGGGUUGAUUUAUAUUGAUUAUUGCUAGCUAACCUUAUUAGCGGUCCUCAUCAUAUGUGAGUCCACUACCAGAAGAAAGGCUUUAGCCGACGAAAAUAAAAAAACCAGGCCGACAAAUUAUUUUUUCAUCGGCUAAAGUCCACUUUAGCCGACGAAAUUUUCCUUCGUCGGCUAAUUUAAAAUUUUCGUCAGCUAUGGUCAACUUUAGCCGACGAAAUUUUAAUUUCGUCGUCUGAAUAAUUUUUUUCGUCGGUUAUAGUUUGUGAACUUUAGCCGACGAAAUUUUUAAAAGUUUAGCCAACGAAAAAUAUAAUUUCGUCGGCUAAAGUGCCUUAUAUUUGCAGAUCUGGACAACAACUCAUCUGGGAAAAAAAAACUAUACGUAGAACCUUCAAACGCAAAAAAGUCGUGAAAUAAGAUAUGACCAAAAUGGUGAAAUACGUCUACAGUUGAAAAAUCAUGGUAUUCCGGUAAAGUACCAGUGCCGAUAGUUGCGGUCAAUGCAAUUUACCCUUAUUAUUCACUAUGCUGCAGAUUUGGCGUUUGGUGUCCGAUUGACUAUUGUGAUACCUUUCCGGAAGCAUAACGGCCCUACGAGUCAAACUCAACGCUUUGCCCUGACAUAUGGGUCUUUUUGGCCAUCCGAGUCCGUUUAGGGCUUCAAAAUGUAGUUUUCUUAUUUCCGAUUAAAGUUAGACCGUUUCGAUCGAGCCCUUAACGUUGUCGGAUCCAGUUGAAUUUUUUACCAUAGACAUCUUUCGUCAUAAUGAUCAUAUCUGACGGUCGAAUUUUGGUUUGUGAAUUUUAGUCAUCAGAAUCACAAUGUGUACUAUUUACCGUUAUUCUUCCCUAUGGGGAGCCCUACCGUCGGAAAGUAAAUGUCUCAAAAUUUUUAUAUGGGCAGUUGCGUCUCAUCUACGUGAGAGCUUUUUGUGUGGAAGGUUUGACCAAACGACGUAAUAUAGAGGGAGAUAUGAGCGUUUUUGUGUGAUAAGUGAUGAUGGAUUAGGGUUGACCGUUUCGAUCGAGCCCUUAACGUUGUCGGAUCCAGUUGAAUUUUUUACCAUAGACAUCUUUCAUCAUAAUGAUCAUAUCUGAUGGUCGAAUUUUGAUUUGUGAAUUUUAGUCAUCGGAAUCACAACGUGUCUACUAAUGUUGUAUAACUUGUUUAGUAGGUUAUACAACUUUGUGAACCAACUCUACAUAGGAAGCAAAAUUAUCAAAAAUCUCGUGAAAUAAGAUGUGUUCAGAAUGGUGAAAUACGGCUAUGGUUCAAAAAUCAGGUAAAUCGGGUAAAGUCUCGGUGCCGAUAGUAGCGGUCAACCCUAUUUACCGUUAUUAUUCCCUAUGGGGAGCCCUAUCGUCGGAAGGUAAAUGUCACAAAAUUUUUAUAUAGGCGGUUGCGUCUCAUCUACGUGAAAGUUUUUCGUGUAGAAGGUUUGACCAAACUACGUAAUAUAGAGGGAGAUAUGAGCGUUUUCCUGAAUUUAUAGACUUUAGCCGACGAGAUAUUAAAAAAGUCGUCAACUAAGGUCAAAAAUUUUUGGGCGGUAAACCAAAUUUGGAGGAAAAUUUUCAAAGGACUUUAACCGACGAAAAUAUAUGAAAAGUCGUCAGCUAAAGUCGAAAAAAUUUUCAAAAAUUUUCAACCAAAAUUUUUUGGUGGUCAACCAAAAUUUUCAAAAGAGUUUAGCCGACGAAAAUAAAGAAUUUUGUCGGCUAAAGUUCUUUAUAUAGGAGUUUUACCGAAGGUGGAUGGUAAGAAGUCUAUUUCGCCUGCCAGAUUUUCUUCUCGGUCUAGCUCCGCCGUCAAGCCACCGGAGACCGCCACACUUGUCCCAAAAGUUUCGCCGUUGUCUCUACUUCAUUGCUGGAUAGGUGGUGCAUCGAGUGGCGCCGCCGUGAGUAAGGCUGGGCUCGGGUCGGGCCGGUUCCGGUUUUCAGAAAACCCGACUCAAAACCCGAAAAAAUCGGGUCGGGUCGGGUCGUGCUUUUUCAGUUUUUAAGCCCGGCCCGAAUUUUUUUUUUUCGGCCUUUCGGGUAUUAUUUCGGGCCCAAUCAUGAUUCUUGCAGUUUACACCAUUUCAGCUCUAGAUAUCCAAAAAUAAUACAUCAACAUUGCAGAUCAACAUUACAAAUCAAGGAAACUAAAUGGAUCAACCAAAAUCAUCAUACAAUGACAUCUACUUGACUCAAAAUCUCUUCAUUCUACAUCAGUUGACACCCUUCUCAUGCGUCUCAUGCCCUUCUCAUGUUACCAAUUCACAAAACACCAAUCAUUCAACUCUGCUAUUUGACAUUUCUAUUCCAUACACCAGAAGUCAUGUACAAGCUGAUCACCAAAGAAAAAAACCAAAAAAAAAAAACAAAACUGAUCACCAAGCUUUCAAAUAGAAAGAACAACAGAAUCACAUCAAAACAAGGGUUACCUGGAGAUGGGGACGCAACACAAGCUUUAUUUUUUGUUUUUGUCUUCUCUCUUUAGCCUUAUUUUUUGUUUUUGCUGCCUUCUCUCUUUAGUUGCUUUCCCUUUAAAAGCAUGAGAUGAACUGGUGGUAAUAGGCUCCGGGUGAUCCACAGUCCCAAUAAUAGCGUCUUCCUUUUCUUGUUCUGCACCAUGGAUGCCAAUAAGCAAUUAGAAAUCAUCGCUAGCAGCUAAGGCUGUAAUUUGUAAAUGGUUGUGUAAGACAAAACUGAACCUCAUUACUAUCAGAGCUAAUAUGGAGUUUAGUUAAUACAUGCUCUUUUUUUUUAAUCUGCUGUAAAUAGAGAUAUAUGAAUUAAGAAAAGAAAAUAAAAAAGAGCUUACCUUCCUCCACAGAUUCAUAAAACUCCAUAUCCUCAAUAGUUGGAACAUAUUGGAUGUUGUGGAUACUCUCAGACCUAAUCCAAUUUUGGUAGCAGAUUAAGGCCUCCACUGUCUUGGGAGAUAAAGAACUCUGAAAUGGAUCAAUCAUCCUUCUACCAGUGCUGAAUGAAGACUCGGCUGCAACCGUACUCACUUGGAUGGCUAGCACAUCUUUCGCAAGUGCAGCAAGACCCGGAUACUUGUCACCAUUCAUCUUCCACCAUUCUAAUAUGUUGAAUUUCUCACGACUUGGAGGCUUCUCAAUUGGGUCUAGUAGGUAUCUGUCCACUUCAUGUACAACAACAGCUUCUUGAGAGUCCUCCAAUUCUCUCUCCCAUUCUUCUUCCAUGUCCUUUAUGAUUCCAGUAGCCUCUACGGUGCUUUGACUCUUUUUGGAUGAGGAUUUGUUGGCUUGGCUAACUAUGCUUUGACUGCUCUCUCCACUCCUAGAUUUUCCUGAUUUGGAAGAUGAUGGAACAUUCAUUGAGCUGCUGUAAAGAUCACAAAGCUCCACCAGAAGCUCUUUAAUCUCGGCAGACUUCUUCUUAAUUUCAACAUACCCCAUCUUUAACCAUUUCUUGCAUAUACUUUCAAAGUUUCUAAUCUUGUAUCUUGGGUUUAACACCAUGGCAAUGAACAUAAGUUGGUUGCAGUCAUCUAAGGUAGCAAAAUACUUCUCGUACUUGAUUUUCAUACUCGAUGCCAUAUCAAAUAAGGUUUUCUCAAUUGGUGCACCGGUACACAUUUCAGGUUUACUGAGCAAUUCAUCAAUCUCAGCCUUUAUGGCAACUAUAUCAUGAAAAGCUUUCCAUGAAGUUGGGUGAUUGGAGGCACUAAUCCUCAUUGUCACAUGAAAGAAAAUUCUUAGAAACUUCACAAAUAUAGCAGCUUUUUCCCAAUCAUGUCUAACCGGUGGUCCUGCCCUCUUCCUCCUUUGUUUCUUCCUUGCAUUAGUUGCAUCUCGAGUCACACUUACUUCCCCCAAGUCUUGGAUCAACUCAUCUUCAAAAUCAAUGUCUUCAUCCUCUUCAAAGUAUUUUUCAUACUUACUUUCCUCAUCUUCUGCCAUUCUAUCAAAGGCCUUCCUCAACUCUAAUGUAGUGGAUAACAUUAUAUAAGUCGAGUUCUACCUUGUUGGUACAUCAAGAAUGCAAACCUUCUUGGACUCAACCUUCUCCUUCUCAAUACACAACUUGAAAACAUCAAGUCUUUGUGCACUGCUCCGGACAUACUGCACUGCAUUCCUAAUAGAAGCCACAGAAUCUCCCAUCAUUGCAAGCCCUGAUUUAACAAUGAGGUUUAGAAUGUGCGCAAGGCACCGAACAUGCAAGUACUUGCCUCCUAAAACAGGUUCCUUCUCCCACCCUAACAUCUUUUCUCUGAUAUAGUCAAUUGCUACCUUGUUUGCACUCGCAUUAUCCACUGAAAUGGUCAAGACUCUCUCCACUUCCCCCUCAAAUAAACAGUCCUCCAACAACUUCCCGAUGCUAGUGCCUUGAUGGUUAGGAAUCACCUUAAAACUCAGAAUUCUUUUUUGCAUUUUCCAACCCGAAUCUACAAAGUGAGAAGUCACAACCAUGUAGUUUAUAUUUUGCACUGAUGUCCAUGUAUCAGUGGUUAAACACAGGCAAUGACCCUUCAUCUCUUUCUUCAGCUUCGCUUUUUCUUCUUUAUACAUCGAAAGAAACAACUUCACAAUCACCCUCCUAGAAGGAACUUCCCAAUUAGGCACUGCAUAUCUACAAAAAUACUUAAAACCAUCCUUUUCGAUGUGACUGAAAGGAAGCUCAUCCAUAACUAUCAUCUUCACAGCUGCUUCCCUGCAACCUUGUUGAGUCCACUUCAUCACCACCGACUCUUUAGUACUCCCACUAGCCUGCUGCUCACCUUCUAUGUCUAUCCUCCCUGGAUAAUGUUUGUACACAGUUUCUAUGUGUCUCUUGAGAGUGCUAGUCCCAUUUGUACUGCUAUCACAAGCAAAAUCAGCGUCGUAGUGAUUACACAUAGCUCUUUCUAUUUCAUCAACCACAACCCUCUUACCAUCCUUCAUCCCGUAGAAUAUCUUCUUUAUCUUUUUAAAGUGCAUCCACACAUAUGAUCUUCCACCAAGCUUUUCAGAUAUUUCUAUUUCGACAUCAUCUUCAACACAUUCUCUCCUCACACGACGCUUCCUUUUUCGAGGAAUCUGAACCCCCGAGUUUGAAUUAGAGCCAGAACGGUGGGAGGACUGGGAGCCAGAACUCUCGGACGAACUGGAGCCUAGGCUAAGUGAAAUCUGAGGUGAAGCCAUGAAUCUCUAAAAAUAAAAAACAAACAAACAAGCCAUGUAUCUCUCAAACUCCCAUUUAUAGAAUCAUAUAUAAUAAUGUAGGCUAGUUGAUGCACAAGUAGACAGAGUUAGAACUUGUAAACAUAUAUAACUGAGCUGCCAUCCAAGCAAACAUACUAAAUUAUUUCAAUCAUCAAAUAAGUAUAUAUGCAUCAAAAUCAUUAGACAGUAUACUAACCAUACCAAGCACCAUCAUACACCUCAUUGAAAAAAUCAUACACAGUAAACUACAGAUUCGAUCUGCUCUCUUGUAUUUGAAGAUGGCAAUAAUGGGUUUGCUCUAGACUUUUGAUAAGGACACACAAAACGUAUAUAUUAACAAUGCUAAGUUAAUCAUGCCUUUCUAAACUAAAUGAACAAUGAACACUUCUGAAGUUCUAAUGAUAUGAACAAUUGAACAAUGAACACUGAUGAACAAUGAGCACUAAUCAGACUGCUUAAGCUUACAAAAAUAAUUUGAUUGCCAACAUAAACUACAAAUACUUUUAUACCUUUAUUCUUUUGAAUGCAUGAAGUUAAGAAAUCCAAAUUGUUCGUGAAAAUUAAAUGCCUGAUUCCAAUCAGCUUCCCUGAAACAACAAAUUGGCCAAUGGCCACCAAAAUCAAUCAAAUCCAUACUUAAACAACCUAUCUACCAAUUUUAACAACCCAACAGUAUCAAAAUAGUUCAGUAACCCAGAAUACAAAAUACAAAUGCCAGAAAACCCAGUUGGGAUUUGUACCUGAAAUGAGAAACCCAGAAAACCCAGUUGGGAUUUGUACCUGAAAUGAGAGAAAACUUAAACCCAGAAGCUGAAAAGCCAUCUGUCUCCACUCGAUGAGACUCGAAACAGCAAAAGAGGUAGAAGAGAGUUUGAGGCUUUGAGAGAAGAGGGGGGUGCUUGGCGGUUUAGGUCUUGGAGGCUUCAAGUCUGAGUUUGAGAGAUUUGAGCUGCGUUUUUUCAGUUUUAGUUUUUUUUUUUUAUUAUAUGGACCAAUAGAUAGCUGACACGUCGUAAAAAAAAGGUAUUUCGGGCCUGAACGGGCUUCCGGGCCGAGACCGAACUCGAACCUGAACCAGGACCGAUCAUUAAGCAUUCAGGCCCGUCUUUGGAGCGAGCCGUUAUCAUCACUUUCAGGACCGGCCCGAUCGGUCCUUGUCGGGCUUUCUAGUCGAUUUUUUCGGGCUUUCGGGCCCUAACGCCCAGCAUUAGCCGUGAGGGAUAAAUCGAGCUCUAAAACUCCGCCGGUUCGGAUUCGGUGUCAAUCGAAUUUCUCCUUCCUCAAGUCACCAUUUGGUGAGUUCUAUAUAUGGAUAAGUUGAGUUUGAUUAGUACUACAUUCCCCUAGAAUUUGGUAGCUCGAUUCGGUGUGUGUGAGGAGAAUCGAAGAUUUGAAGUUUUUAGGGUUUAAAAUUGGGGAUUUUUAUAUUUUGAUUCAAUUGACCUGUUUAGGCUUAGAAUUGGGCUUCGACUACUUCUAGAAAGUUGUUCGAAAUGUUGAGAGGAAGAUUCUGUCAAAUUUUGGUGGUGAUUGGAGGUGGCCAAAAGUUCUGCAGUUUUUUUUUCUAAAACCAGCAACUUUAGCCGACGAUAUUUAAAUACUAUAUUCGUCGGCUAUAGUAUUUUUAUAUUUUUUUAUAAGGUUUAGCCGACGAAAUAGACUAUAUUUCGUCGGCUAUAGUUAUUUUUAAAAUUUUUUUUCUAAGGUUUAGCCGACGAAUAUCUUAAUUGUUUCAUCGGCUAAAGUCUGGAAAAAAAACCGACGACAUGUUUUUCGUCGGCUAAACUGUGGGACUAUAGCCGACGACGUCUUCUUUUUUCGUCGGCUAAAGUCAUCGCCGACGACCUUCUCCCGACUAAAUCUUAGUCGACGAUCCAUCGUCGGCUAAGAUCUUAGCCAACGAAUUAAGCUAACAGGCCGAUAAAAUUUUUUCGUCGGCUAAAGUGCUUGUCGUGGUAGUGGUCGCUAUUAUAGCCUUAUUAGUGGUCCUCAUCAUAUAUGAGUAGAGCGCGUAGCGUGGGACGCUAUUAUAGCCUAAGAGGCAACCGAUCGGUAUUUAUAUUUAUUAGUUAGCUAGCCUUAUUAGCGGUCCUCAUCAUAUGUGAGUUGAGCGCUUAACGUGGGACGCUAUUAUAGUCUGGAAGGCAUCAACCCGAGCCUUGGAGGCUCCUUUUACAUGGUGAUAACUCUUCCCUUUAUUUUUAUUCCUCUCAGUUAUGUAUUUGAUUAACCAGCGGGGCUGGUUUAUCUCUUCUUACGAGAUUUUCUUUAUUUGAGUUAACCAGCGGGGCUGGUUUGUCCAUUCUUAUGGGUUUCUAGAUUUUAAGUUAUAUGAUUUAUCAAAAUUGCGUGUAGCUAAGCUUUUAAAGUUGAAAUGUGGGAAAGUAUUUAAAUUGCGUAUUUGUUAAGUUGUUUAAUUUAUUUUUGUCCACUCACUCUAACGUUUUUAAAUUAUUUUCCCCUGGGCCCUUUGGUUUUAAAUGCCCAGUGUACAUGCUAGGUUUAAAUGAGGUCAAGCGUACAUGGAGUCGAGACAUAGUCAGAGGUUGCUUCCGCUUAAUCUUUAUUCAUUGCUAUAUAUUCUUUCAUUAUUAGAUAUGCUCUAAUCACCAGUUAGUGAAUUAAUUUUGUUUAUUGUUAGUUGUGGGAUUAUUUUAGUCGAGUAAUUGAUAUAUUGGGAGGUGUGAUGAACUUGGGGAGCAGGAAGGCUCCAGGUGUUGAGGAUGGAUGUUUAGUUAUAGAAGUGUUAAGUUGGAUUUUUCAAGUAAGGGUUAUCCAUUUUCAAGGAAUUUUAUGCCGAAUUUUCGGUAAAUUUUCCUUGAAGGUAGACCCCGCAGGAUUUACCUCGUGUUUCAGAGUGAAAUUCGGGGUGGGUCCUGACAACAUGAAUCAUUAAGCAUAAAAGAUGAACUCGAACAUAUUAGAUUUGUUUACCGAAAGAGGCUUAACAACCUAACAUGCAAUCUAUGUUCUUAAUCGAAACCCAUAUCACAUGAAUCCCAAUUUUUACCACUUGUUAAUCUACACUUACCGGAAGAGGCUUAGCAUAAAUUAUGGCUUUGCUAACUUGGCCGAAUUAGCAUAUUG